AUCGCUUCUCGGCCUUUUGGCUAAGAUCAAGUGUAGUGUCUGUUCUUAUCAGUUUAAUAUCUGGUCCGUCCUCUCUCUGAGGACAUUAUAUUAAAUGUAUUUUUGGAGCAGGGAAAUGAUGCGUAUCAACCCGGUAUUGCAGUACCUCCGGGAACGGUGCACCAAGA
Myotis davidii is the source of this 167-nucleotide non-coding RNA. The record is from Rfam. Lineage: Eukaryota; Metazoa; Chordata; Mammalia; Chiroptera; Vespertilionidae.